ACCUUCGCAAUGCGCGAAAGCGUGACGAGGUUAAUCCGAGUGGCCUCCGCUGAGGAGGUCUUUUGUCAGCUGUAAAUAGGCGGGCGAAUAAGGGGAGGGCAAGCCUGGUGUCAGCCGCCGCGGUAAUACCAGCUCCUCGAGUGGUCGGGGCGAUUAUUGGGCCUAAAGCAUCCGUAGCCGGUUCCGUAGGUCCUCUGUUAAAUCCAUCCGCUUAACGGAUGACCUGCAGAGGAUACCGCGGGACUAGGAGGCGGGAGAGGCGGACGGUACUCCGCGUGUAGGGGUAAAAUCCUUUGAUCCGCGGAAGACCACCAGUGGCGAAGGCGGUCCGCCAGAACGCGCUCGACGGUGAGGGAUGAAAGCUGGGGGAGCGAACCGGAUUAGAUACCCGGGUAGUCCCAGCUGUAAACGAUGCAGACUCGGUGAUGGGCUAGCCUCGUGUCAGCCCAGUGCCGCAGGGAAGCCGUUAAGUCUGCCGCCUGGGGAGUACGGUCGCAAGGCUGAAACUUAA
This 511-nucleotide ribosomal RNA is filed under the name uncultured Nitrososphaerota archaeon. Its description in RNAcentral is "bacterial SSU rRNA". It matches the Rfam family "Archaeal small subunit ribosomal RNA", at positions 346 to 859 of the family's 1478-position model. Lineage: Archaea; Thermoproteati; Nitrososphaerota. The record is from RNAcentral.